RNAcentral lists this transfer RNA (58 nucleotides) under Dipodomys ordii (Ord's kangaroo rat). It matches the Rfam family "tRNA", at positions 8 to 63 of the family's 71-position model. Rfam says of the family: Transfer RNA (tRNA) molecules are approximately 80 nucleotides in length. Their secondary structure includes four short double-helical elements and three loops (D, anti-codon, and T loops). Further hydrogen bonds mediate the characteristic L-shaped molecular structure. tRNAs have two regions of fundamental functional importance: the anti-codon, which is responsible for specific mRNA codon recognition, and the 3' end, to which the tRNAs corresponding amino acid is attached (by aminoacyl-tRNA synthetases). tRNAs cope with the degeneracy of the genetic code in two manners: having more than one tRNA (with a specific anti-codon) for a particular amino acid; and 'wobble' base-pairing, i.e. permitting non-standard base-pairing at the 3rd anti-codon position. The record is from Rfam by way of RNAcentral. Lineage: Eukaryota; Metazoa; Chordata; Mammalia; Rodentia; Heteromyidae.
UAGCUCAGUGAAAGAGUGCUUGCCUUGCAUGCAUGAGACCCUGGGUUCGAUUCCCCAG